RNAcentral lists this long non-coding RNA (802 nucleotides) under Dermacentor andersoni. Its description in RNAcentral is "uncharacterized LOC126527240". The record is from RNAcentral. Lineage: Eukaryota; Metazoa; Arthropoda; Arachnida; Ixodida; Ixodidae.
UAAAGUCGAAUCUUUCUAAACCCUAAACAGAAUACUAAACUGCCCUAAACAUUUUACUACAAUACACUUGCUUCUAUGAAUUAGUUUCAGUUUUGGUAUCACUAGGUGGAUGUUUCACUACGUUGUGGCAUAUUGCCAUGCCCUGUCCCUGCGACGGCUGCAGCAGUCACAUGCCAGCACAGCCAGAAAAGAAUAUGAGCUGUGCUGCUGUUUACUUUCUUCAUGAGCAACAUCAUCACACAUAGCGAUAUUAAUACAUGACAUCGGCAAAUUUUGCUCUGUGUCAUGACAUUGUGAAAACGUCGAUGACACCAGGUCUAGCAUUCUGCGACCAAGUUUUGCAUCAAAUUAGGACAUCUUAUGUUUCCCAACUUUCAAACUUUUAUGUGCUGAAAGUGUGUGGCAGAGAAUUUACACCCAAACUCUAUUGGCCUUAAUAGGAAAUCCAGGAUGGUGGAAAAAGAAGAGAAGAAGAAGCAAGCACCAUGGUUUUGUGAGAACAAUGCAGACUACAAAUGACAGAAAGCUGAAUGAGUUGAUAAGGAUUCAUGGUUUGAAAGGCAGAGGAUCACCUUGGCUUUCCGGCUUCAUGCUGAGCUCCAGGGAGUUGCCGGCCCAAGCUGAAGUUGCAGCGCCAGGCAGGGGAACCCGAACCACAGCCGCAUCUGGAGAGUGCCGAGUUAUCCGUCCGAGGGACACCACUGAAAGAAGUUAUAACACGGCUCGCAUCGGAAUCGUGGGUACUUGAGCCACUUGGCGCAAGACUACGCAAGAGUAAAGCACAGCUGCGACAAGACAGAGA